GGUACUGUCCUGCAGAUCAGAUGGGCAUCUCCACCAGGACGUUUGCAAGCAGAAAGGUAGAAGAUCACCUUUGAACUUUGAAAGUUCUGACAUCCCGAGGGGGCAAAAGGCGCCAGGGAAUUUCUCCCGCACUGCAAACAGCCUACACCCAGAUCCAGCUUCUGUGGAUGAACUCUUGCCAUGCCAGACGUUGGUCCUCCUUCUCUGCUCCUUCUAUAAUGUUCACCAGCCAGCUGGAAAUGCUGCUAAAGUCAGUACAUAAUUUUGAGGUAAGAUCUGAAUUUAUUCUACCGGUGGGCAAUCUUAUCGUUCUGAAAAUCUGCAUCGAAAAGAUGCUAUGUGAAGCUUAUAGCACACUCUUUUGAUUCGUGUUUCAGCUGCCAAUAGCUAAUCCUGGAGUCCUGGGACCCUAUGCUUUCUUGCUGUCUGCAAAUUUAUUUGUCACAAGCUUACAUGAUUGAAUUCUGGCAUUGAAUUGGAUGGUUGGCAUCACCAAUUCGUCAUGUCAAUUCUUCAAAUUUACAAUGCAUGAUGGUUCUAGUGGUAAGAUCAUUGCAAUGUUUUAUGUAAUGUGGUGGUGGUAUCACUCGACUGGUUGAUCCAGAUUGGUUACACGUCCUUCGUUUAAGGGUUUGUUUAGGUUGGUGGAAUUCUGUGAAUUUUUCUUACAGGGAAGUGAAUGAAGACGAGGUGAACGUCUGCGGUACAGUAAGAUGAGUUUGGACAACGUGUGCGGAAAAGGAC
RNAcentral lists this long non-coding RNA (744 nucleotides) under Zea mays. RNAcentral describes it as "long non-coding RNA (ZMAY_LNC001226)". Lineage: Eukaryota; Viridiplantae; Streptophyta; Magnoliopsida; Poales; Poaceae. The record is from RNAcentral.